Non-coding RNA from Poecilia reticulata (guppy), 541 nucleotides. Lineage: Eukaryota; Metazoa; Chordata; Actinopteri; Cyprinodontiformes; Poeciliidae. The record is from RefSeq and is a predicted model, not a curated record.
CUGCUGCUGCUGCUGCUCGAGCUAUGGCGAAGCUAGUUUGCGCCUGCGGUUCACGUCUCGUGCGUCUGGUUUUCCUGCCUUGUCUUUAGGCUUGAAUUGCCGAAGAACACAAUGAAACCAUAACAUUACCAACACCAAUGUGACAGAGCUAACUGUAGCUUUUGGGAUCAAAAGAACCAAAGAAAAGAGGAUGAGAAAAAUGGACCAGUUUUGUGAAAAAUUAAGUAGUAAUUAAAAAUUGACAGAUGUCAGUUGUUUUACAAGUAAGAUGAUGAAACAAAAUGAGUCCAAGUCUGUCUGUGUAUAUAACGCUGACAAUAAUAUUUCCAGAUUUAAAAGCGCCCAGUUUUGGCUGCAAAGUAAUUGAAUGCAGGACAAAAGUACAUCUUCUGUUUUUAAUCAAAGAGUUUAAGAAGAUUGACACACACAUUAACACAUCCUAAAUAAAUAAGGGAGCAGAUGCACAGUUUUUGUAAUUGUAACAUUAUAAAAAAUAGUGAUCAGACAUUAUUUAAAAACGUAUUAAAGUACAGGACAUUUA